AGAGUUUGAUCAUGGCUCAGGAUGAACGCUGGCGGCGUGCCUAACACAUGCAAGUCGAACGAUCUAUUUCGGUAGGUAGUGGCGCACGGGUGAGUAACACGUAGCUUACCUGCCCUAGACACUGGGAUAACGCACCGAAAGGUGUGCUAAUACCGGAUAAGCUCACGUUCUGUAGAGGGAUGUGAGAAAAGGCGAAAGCCGGUUUAGGAUGGGGCUGCGGCCCAUCAGCUAGUAGGUAGGGUAAAAGCCUACCUAGGCGACGACGGGUAGGGGGCCUGAGAGGGUGACCCCCCACACUGGGACUGAGACACGGCCCAGACUCCUACGGGAGGCAGCAGUGAGGAAUAUUGCUCAAUGGGCGAAAGCCUGAAGCAGCGACGCCGCGUGGGUGAUGAAGGUCUUCGGAUCGUAAAGCCCUUUUCUGUGUGACGAGAAAGGACGGUAGCACAGGAAUAAGUGUCGGCUAACUACGUGCCAGCAGCCGCGGUAAAACGUANGACGCAAGCGUUAUCCGGAAUUACUGGGCGUAAAGCGCGUGUAGGCGGUUUUGCAAGUCACUUGUGAAAGCUCCCGGCUAAACUGGGAGAGGUCAGGUGAUACUGCGGAGCUAGAGUGUAGUAAAAGGGUGCGGAAUUCCGGGUGUAGUGGUGAAAUGCGUACAUAUUCGGAGGAACACCAGAGGCGAAGGCGGCGCCCUGGACUACAACUGACGCUGAGACGCGAAAGCAUGGGUAGCGAACGGGAUUAGAGACCCCGGUAGUCCAUGCCGUAAACGAUGCACACUAGAUGUUCGUCUGGUACUGCCAGAUGAGCGUCGAAGCUAACGCGAUAAGUGUGCCGCCUGGGGAGUACGGUCGCAAGGCUAAAACUCAAAGGAAUUGACGGGGACCCGCACAAGCAGCGGAGCGUGUGGUUUAAUUCGAUGCUACNACGAAGAACCUUACCUAGACUUGACAUUUGCUGAAGUGGUCGGAAACGGUCACGGCCCGCAAGGGACAGCAGGACAGGUGCUGCAUGGCUGUCGUCAGCUCGUGUCGUGAGAUGUUCGGUUAAGUCCGAGAACGAGCGCAACCCUCGGUGUUAGUUACAAGUGUCUAACACGACUGCCUGCGACAAGCAGGAGGAAGGUGGGGAUGACGUCAAGUCAGCAUGGCCUUUAUGUCUAGGGCUACACACACGCUACAAUGGCGCGUACAAUGGGUCGCGAAGCCGCGAGGCGGAGCCAAUCCUAAAAAGCGCGUCGUAGUUCAGAUUGUAGGCUGCAACUCGCCUGCAUGAAGUCGGAGUUGCUAGUAAACGCGAAUCAGCAUGUCGCGUUGAAUACGUUCCCGGGUCUUGUACACACCGCCCGUCACGUCAUGGGAGCUGGUCACGCCUGAAGUCGGGAAGAUAACCGCAAGGGAUCUACUGCCGAAGGCAGGGCCGGUGACCGGGACGAAGUCGUAACAAGGUAGCUGUACCGGAAGGUGCGGCUGGAUCACCUSCUU
RNAcentral lists this ribosomal RNA (1487 nucleotides) under uncultured Chloroflexales bacterium. RNAcentral describes it as "bacterial SSU rRNA". It matches the Rfam family "Bacterial small subunit ribosomal RNA". Lineage: Bacteria; Bacillati; Chloroflexota; Chloroflexia; Chloroflexales. The record is from RNAcentral.